GCUAGAGGUUAUUACUUAGAGGAGAUCUUGAAUUAUUAUAAAUAGUGUCAAAGUGGAUCUACGCAUGACUCACGUAUGACAAGGGGAUAUUGUAGAACAAGCACUUUUGGGACCGAUCACUGACCAAUCUUAUUGUUUGUAAUUGGAUUUGAUUGGUUCUAGAUUUUUAGAAUGGAGAGGAUGAUAGAAUUUAAAGUGGGGAAGCAUAUAGCUCAUGUCUCUUUUUCUUGCAUGGUUGAUCCCAUAUAUUUCAUAGCA
This 258-nucleotide long non-coding RNA is filed under the name Elaeis guineensis (African oil palm). RNAcentral's name for it is "long non-coding RNA (EGUI_LNC024945)". Lineage: Eukaryota; Viridiplantae; Streptophyta; Magnoliopsida; Arecales; Arecaceae. The record is from RNAcentral.